CCUGCCCUUUAGUUGGGAAUAACUCAGCGAAAGUUGGGCUAAUACCGAAUGACGUCGCGUCUCCUCGGAGAUCGUGAUCAAAGGUGGUCUCUACAUGUAAGCUACUGUUUGGAGAUGAGCCCGCGUACCAUUAGCUUGUUGGUAGGGUAAUGGCCUACCAAGGCCGCGAUGGUUAGCUGGUCUGAGAGGAUGAUCAGCCACACUGGAACUGACACACGGUCCAG
This 224-nucleotide ribosomal RNA is filed under the name uncultured bacterium. RNAcentral describes it as "partial 16S ribosomal RNA". It matches the Rfam family "Bacterial small subunit ribosomal RNA", at positions 125 to 334 of the family's 1533-position model. The record is from RNAcentral.